UACGGGGGGGGCAAGCGUUGUUCGGAAUUACUGGGCGUAAAGGGCUCGUAGGUGGCCAACUAAGUCAGACGUGAAAUCCCUCGGCUUAACCGGGGAACUGCGUCUGAUACUGGAUGGCUUGAAUUUGGGAGAGGGACGCGGAAUUCCAGGUGUAGCGGUGAAAUGCGUAGAUAUCUGGAGGAACACCGGUGGCGAAGGCGGCAUCCUGGACCAACACUGACACUGAGGAGCGAAAGCCAGGGGAGCAAACGGG
RNAcentral lists this ribosomal RNA (253 nucleotides) under uncultured bacterium. RNAcentral describes it as "partial 16S ribosomal RNA". It matches the Rfam family "Bacterial small subunit ribosomal RNA", at positions 524 to 776 of the family's 1533-position model. The record is from RNAcentral.